GACGAACGCUGGCGGCGUGCUUAACACAUGCAAGUCGAACGGAAAGGCCCUGCUUUUGUGGGGUGCUCGAGUGGCGAACGGGUGAGUAACACGUGAGUAACCUGCCCUUGACUUUGGGAUAACUUCAGGAAACUGGGGCUAAUACCGGAUAGGAGCUCCUGCUGCAUGGUGGGGGUUGGAAAGUUUCGGCGGUUGGGGAUGGACUCGCGGCUUAUCAGCUUGUUGGUGGGGUAGUGGCUUACCAAGGCUUUGACGGGUCGCCGGACUGAGAGGGUGACCGGCCACAUUGGGACUGAGAUACGGCCCAGACUCCUACGGGAGGCAGCAGUGGGGAAUAUUGCACAAUGGGCGGAAGCCUGAUGCAGCAACGCCGCGUGCGGGAUGACGGCCUUCGGGUUGUAAACCGCUUUCGCCUGUGGCGAAGCGUGAGUGACGGUAAUGGGUAAAGAAGCACCGGCUAACUACGUG
RNAcentral lists this ribosomal RNA (468 nucleotides) under uncultured bacterium. Its description in RNAcentral is "partial 16S ribosomal RNA". It matches the Rfam family "Bacterial small subunit ribosomal RNA", at positions 28 to 507 of the family's 1533-position model. The record is from RNAcentral.